This 253-nucleotide ribosomal RNA is filed under the name uncultured bacterium. Its description in RNAcentral is "partial 16S ribosomal RNA". It matches the Rfam family "Bacterial small subunit ribosomal RNA", at positions 524 to 776 of the family's 1533-position model. The record is from RNAcentral.
UACAGAGGUCCCAAGCGUUGUUCGGAAUUACUGGGCGUAAAGGGCUCGUAGGUGGCCAACUAAGUCAGACGUGAAAUCCCUCGGCUUAACCGGGGAACUGCGUCUGAUACUGGAUGGCUUGAGUGUGGGAGAGGGAUGCGGAAUUCCUGGUGUAGCGGUGAAAUGCGCAGAUAUCAGGAGGAACACCAAUUGCGAAGGCAGCUCGCUGGGACGUUACUGACGCUGAGACGCGAAAGCGUGGGGAGCAAACAGG